Molecule: unclassified non-coding RNA, 1002 nt
Filed under: Hevea brasiliensis (rubber tree)
Lineage: Eukaryota; Viridiplantae; Streptophyta; Magnoliopsida; Malpighiales; Euphorbiaceae
Source: RNAcentral
AUUCAAGCAGAUCUCUGAGGCUUACGAGGCAUGUUUUUCUUUUCCCCUAAUUUUACUUCCUCUACCAGGUUCUCAAUUCUUUAUCUUUUUUAUUUUUUUCAAUCUUUUCUUCCAUUAUCUGGAAUGUAAAUUUAAGAUUUCAUUCUCCUGGUUGGCUGGCUGAGAAAUGGGGAAGAAUCAUAUCUAUAUAAUAUAUGUAUUUUGGGCGUUGUGCAAUAUCCAUUUCUUGUUCUUCUCUGUAGUUCUUAUUGGAAAUACACUAAAAAAUAAAAGAAUUGAUAUGGAAAAAGUCAGUGAUUCUAUGCUUUUGGAAAAUUUAACAUAAUGGGGAGAAUUAACCUCUUUUAUCCUCCGUUUCAUUGUUGACCAAGUGAAGAUUAAAAGCAUUGCUUUUGUUAAUGCGAAUUUACACUGAAUUCCCUCUUCAGUGAUUAUGCAAUGUUUGUUUGAGAUAUGAAAGGCAGUUAAUUUUCAUAUAUUUAUAUUGCCUGGUGUCCUGAUGCAUUUUUAAUUCAGGUCCUAAGUGACCCGCAAAAGAGAGCAAUUUAUGAUCAGUAUGGUGAAGAAGGCCUGAAAGACAUGCCACCCCCUGGCAGUGGUGGAUUCCCAUUUGGAAAUGGUAGUGGCACUGGGUCGAGUGGUUUCAAUCCUAGAAAUGCAGAAGAUAUAUUUGCAGAAUUCUUUGGCAGCAGUCCUUUUGGAUUUGGAUCAUCAGGACCUGGAAGGUCCAUGAGGUUCCAGCCAGAUGGAGGAAUGUUUGGGGGAUUUGGUGGGAGUGAAAAUCUAUUUCGGACUUACAGUGAGGGGACUGUGCCAAGGAAGCCACCACCAGUAGAGAGUAAAUUGCCUUGCAGUCUUGAGGAACUAUACUCUGGAUCAACAAGGAAAAUGAAGAUUUCUAGAACUGUAGUUGAUGGCCAUGGGCGGCAAGUGCAAGAAACAGAGAUUCUAACCAUUGAUGUGAAGCCAGGGUGGAAAAAGGGAACAAAGAUUACUUUCCCA